GCUAAUCUGCGAUAAGCGUCGGUAAGGUGAUAUGAACCGUUAUAACCGGCGAUUUCCGAAUGGGGAAACCCAGUGUGUUUCGACACACUAUCAUUAACUGAAUCCAUAGGUUAAUGAGGCGAACCGGGGGAACUGAAACAUCUAAGUACCCCGAGGAAAAGAAAUCAACCGAGAUUCCCCCAGUAGCGGCGAGCGAACGGGGAGGAGCCCAGAGCCUGAAUCAGUGUGUGUGUUAGUGGAAGCGUCUGGAAAGGCGCGCGAUACAGGGUGACAGCCCCGUACACAAAAAUGCACAUACUGUGAGCUCGAUGAGUAGGGCGGGACACGUGGUAUCCUGUCUGAAUAUGGGGGGACCAUCCUCCAAGGCUAAAUAC
Molecule: ribosomal RNA, 374 nt
Filed under: Escherichia coli
Lineage: Bacteria; Pseudomonadati; Pseudomonadota; Gammaproteobacteria; Enterobacterales; Enterobacteriaceae
Description: partial 23S ribosomal RNA
Rfam family: Bacterial large subunit ribosomal RNA
Source: RNAcentral